UCCGUUGUUGUCCAGCUAUUAGGAUAUCUGGCUUUCACCCAGAAGACCCGGGUUCGUUUCCCGGCAACGGAA
Molecule: non-coding RNA, 72 nt
Organism: Glycine max (soybean)
Lineage: Eukaryota; Viridiplantae; Streptophyta; Magnoliopsida; Fabales; Fabaceae
Source: Rfam